This 574-nucleotide small RNA is filed under the name Pan troglodytes (chimpanzee). RNAcentral's name for it is "processed transcript". Lineage: Eukaryota; Metazoa; Chordata; Mammalia; Primates; Hominidae. The record is from RNAcentral.
AAGUUUAUGCGUGCUUCCGGUCCGCGAGCCCUGAGAGCUAACUUGGGGUCUUUUCCCAAGGUGGAUGUAGAAGCGGGCUCCGGCGUCCCACUCUCCCUUCCAUAUGGGCUUAGCGUCUGGGUCACUGAGAACGACGUCUGAAUAGGGCCCUGGGUCCUUGCCAUGGAUGAAUGUGGUUCCCGCAUCCGCCGGCGGGUGUCUCUCCCCAAAAGGAACCGUCCAAGCCUGGGGUGUAUUUUUGGCGCUCCCACCGCGGCCGAGCUCGAGCCCGGAGAUGAGGGGAAAGAGGAGGAGGAAAUGGUGGCUGAGAACAGGAGGCGGAAAACCGCGGGCGUACUGCCGGUUGAGCCUAAUGACAGUGAAGUGGACAUGUUUGGUGACUAUGAUAGCUUUACAGAAAACUCCUUUAUAGCUCAAGUUGACGACCUGGAACAAAAAUAUAUGCAACUCCCUGAACAUAGGAAACAUGCUACAGACUUUGCCACUGAAAAUCUUUGCUCGGAAAGUAUCAAAAACAAACUCAGCAUUACUACCAUAGGCAACCUUACUGAAUUACAAACUGAUAAGCACACAG